RNAcentral lists this ribosomal RNA (497 nucleotides) under uncultured bacterium. Its description in RNAcentral is "partial 16S ribosomal RNA". It matches the Rfam family "Bacterial small subunit ribosomal RNA", at positions 28 to 507 of the family's 1533-position model. The record is from RNAcentral.
GAUGAACGCUGGCGGCGUGCCUAAUACAUGCAAGUCGAGCGAACAGACGAGGAGCUUGCUCCUCUGACGUUAGCGGCGGACGGGUGAGUAACACGUGGAUAACCUACCUAUAAGACUGGGAUAACUUCGGGAAACCGGAGCUAAUACCGGAUAAUAUAUUGAACCGCAUGGUUCAAUAGUGAGAGACGGUUUUGCUGUCACUUAUAGAUGGAUCCGCGCCGCAUUAGCUAGUUGGUAAGGUAACGGCUUACCAAGGCAACGAUGCGUAGCCGACCUGAGAGGGUGAUCGGCCACACUGGAACUGAGACACGGUCCAGACUCCUACGGGAGGCAGCAGUAGGGAAUCUUCCGCAAUGGGCGAAGGCCUGACGGAGCAACGCCGCGUGAGUGAUGAAGGUCUUCGGAUCGUAAAACUCUGUUAUUAGGGAAGAACAAAUGUGUAAGUAACUAUGCACGUCUUGACGGUACCUAAUCAGAAAGCCACGGCUAACUACGUG